RNAcentral lists this ribosomal RNA (1372 nucleotides) under uncultured bacterium. Its description in RNAcentral is "bacterial SSU rRNA". It matches the Rfam family "Bacterial small subunit ribosomal RNA", at positions 28 to 1381 of the family's 1533-position model. The record is from RNAcentral.
GAUGAACGCUGGCGGCGUGCCUAAUACAUGCAAGUCGAGCGAACGGACGAGAAGCUUGCUUCUCUGAUGUUAGCGGCGGACGGGUGAGUAACACGUGGAUAACCUACCUAUAAGACUGGGAUAACUUCGGGAAACCGGAGCUAAUACCGGAUAAUAUUUUGAACCGCAUGGUUCAAAAGUGAAAGACGGUCUUGCUGUCACUUAUAGAUGGAUCCGCGCUGCAUUAGCUAGUUGGUAAGGUAACGGCUUACCAAGGCAACGAUGCAUAGCCGACCUGAGAGGGUGAUCGGCCACACUGGAACUGAGACACGGUCCAGACUCCUACGGGAGGCAGCAGUAGGGAAUCUUCCGCAAUGGGCGAAAGCCUGACGGAGCAACGCCGCGUGAGUGAUGAAGGUCUUCGGAUCGUAAAACUCUGUUAUUAGGGAAGAACAUAUGUGUAAGUAACUGUGCACAUCUUGACGGUACCUAAUCAGAAAGCCACGGCUAACUACGUGCCAGCAGCCGCGGUAAUACGUAGGUGGCAAGCGUUAUCCGGAAUUAUUGGGCGUAAAGCGCGCGUAGGCGGUUUUUUAAGUCUGAUGUGAAAGCCCACGGCUCAACCGUGGAGGGUCAUUGGAAACUGGAAAACUUGAGUGCAGAAGAGGAAAGUGGAAUUCCAUGUGUAGCGGUGAAAUGCGCAGAGAUAUGGAGGAACACCAGUGGCGAAGGCGACUUUCUGGUCUGUAACUGACGCUGAUGUGCGAAAGCGUGGGGAUCAAACAGGAUUAGAUACCCUGGUAGUCCACGCCGUAAACGAUGGGUGCUAAGUGUUAGGGGGUUUCCGCCCCUUAGCGCUGCAGCUAACGCAUUAAGCACUCCGCCUGGGGAGUACGACCGCAAGGUUGAAACUCAAAGGAAUUGACGGGGACCCGCACAAGCGGUGGAGCAUGUGGUUUAAUUCGAAGCAACGCGAAGAACCUUACCAAAUCUUGACAUCCUUUGACAACUCUAGAGAUAGAGCCUUCCCCUUCGGGGGACAAAGUGACAGGUGGUGCAUGGUUGUCGUCAGCUCGUGUCGUGAGAUGUUGGGUUAAGUCCCGCAACGAGCGCAACCCUUAAGCUUAGUUGCCAUCAUUAAGUUGGGCACUCUAAGUUGACUGCCGGUGACAAACCGGAGGAAGGUGGGGAUGACGUCAAAUCAUCAUGCCCCUUAUGAUUUGGGCUACACACGUGCUACAAUGGACAAUACAAGGGGCAGCGAAACCGCGAGGUCAAGCAAAUCCCAUAAAGUUGUUCUCAGUUCGGAUUGUAGUCUGCAACUCGACUACAUGAAGCUGGAAUCGCUAGUAAUCGUAGAUCAGCAUGCUACGGUGAAUACGUUCCCGGGUCU